Molecule: transfer RNA, 87 nt
Filed under: Gemmatimonadota bacterium
Lineage: Bacteria; Pseudomonadati; Gemmatimonadota
Description: Gemmatimonadetes bacterium tRNA-Ser
Rfam family: tRNA
About the family: Transfer RNA (tRNA) molecules are approximately 80 nucleotides in length. Their secondary structure includes four short double-helical elements and three loops (D, anti-codon, and T loops).
Source: RNAcentral
GGAGAGGUGUCCGAGUGGUUGAAGGAGCCGGUCUCGAAAACCGGUGGGCCCUCGCGGGUCUCGUGGGUUCGAAUCCCACCCUCUCCG